This 506-nucleotide ribosomal RNA is filed under the name uncultured bacterium. RNAcentral describes it as "partial 16S ribosomal RNA". It matches the Rfam family "Bacterial small subunit ribosomal RNA", at positions 29 to 523 of the family's 1533-position model. The record is from RNAcentral.
AGUGAACGCUGGCGGUAGGCCUAACACAUGCAAGUCGAACGGCAGCACAGGAGAGCUUGCUCUCUGGGUGGCGAGUGGCGGACGGGUGAGGAAUACACCGGAAUCUACUCUGUCGUGGGGGAUAACGUAGGGAAACUUACGCUAAUACCGCAUACGACCUACGGGUGAAAGCAGGGGACCUUCGGGCCUUGCGCGAUUGAAUGAGCCGAUGUCGGAUUAGCUAGUUGGCGGGGUAAAGGCACACCAAGGCGACGAUCCGUAGCUGGUCUGCGAGGAUGAUCAGCCACACUGGAACUGAGACACGGGCCAGAGUCCUAGGGGGUGCAGCAGUGGGGAAUAUUGGGCAAUGGGCGCAAGCCUGAUCCAGCCAUACCGCGUGGGUGAAGAAGGCCUUCGGGUUGUAAAGCCCUUUUGUUGGGAAAGAAAUCCAGCUGGCUAAUACCCGGUUGGGAUGCCGGUACCCAAAGAAUAAGCACCGGCUAACUUCGUGCCAGCCGCCGCCGUAA